GAACGCUGGCGGCGUGCUUAACACAUGCAAGUCGAGCGGAAAGGCCACUUCGGUGGUACUCGAGCGGCGAACGGGUGAGUAACACGUGAGUAAUCUGCCCCCCACUUUGGGAUAGCCACCGGAAACGGUGAUUAAUACCGGAUAUGACCCUUGACCGCAUGGUUGUGGGUGGAAAGUUUUUCGGUGGGGGAUGUGCUCGCGGCCUAUCAGCUUGAUGGUGGGGUAAUGGCCUACCAUGGCUUCGACGGGUAGCCGGCCUGAGAGGGUGACCGGCCACACUGGGACUGAGACACGGCCCAGACUCCUACGGGAGGCAGCAGUGGGGAAUAUUGGACAAUGGGCGGAAGCCUGAUCCAGCAACGCCGCGUGAGGGAUGACGGCCUUCGGGUUGUAAACCUCUUUCAGUACCGACGAAGCGAAAGUGACGGUAGGUACAGAAGAAGCACCGGCCAACUACGU
Molecule: ribosomal RNA, 459 nt
Filed under: uncultured bacterium
Lineage: Bacteria
Description: bacterial SSU rRNA
Rfam family: Bacterial small subunit ribosomal RNA
Source: RNAcentral